AUUGAACGCUGGCGGCAUGCUUUACACAUGCAAGUCGAACGGUAACAGGCCUUCGGGUGCUGACGAGUGGCGAACGGGUGAGUAAUGCAUCGGAACGUACCCAGAGGUGGGGGAUAACGCAGCGAAAGCUGUGCUAAUACCGCAUGUGAUCUGAGGAUGAAAGCGGGGGACCGAGCAGCAAUGUUUGGCCUCGCGCCUUUGGAGCGGCCGAUGUCGGAUUAGCUAGUUGGUGGGGUAAAGGCCUACCAAGGCGACGAUCCGUAGCUGGUCUGAGAGGACGACCAGCCACACUGGGACUGAGACACGGCCCAGACUCCUAAGGGAGGCAGCAGUGGGGAAUGUUGGACAAUGGGCGCAAGCCUGAUCCAGCAAUGCCGCGUGCGGGAAGAAGGCCUUCGGGUUGUAAAUCGCUUUUGGCAGGAACGAAACGGUGUCCGCUAAUACCGGGCGCUAAUGACAGUACCUGCAGAAUAAGCACCGGCUAACUACGUG
Molecule: ribosomal RNA, 492 nt
Filed under: uncultured bacterium
Lineage: Bacteria
Description: partial 16S ribosomal RNA
Rfam family: Bacterial small subunit ribosomal RNA
Source: RNAcentral